RNAcentral lists this ribosomal RNA (221 nucleotides) under Trematoda sp. ALBAA._TREM23.22-TREM. Its description in RNAcentral is "partial large subunit ribosomal RNA". The stretch from base 93 to 221 matches the Rfam family "Bacterial large subunit ribosomal RNA", at positions 2473 to 2602 of the family's 2925-position model. The record is from RNAcentral. Lineage: Eukaryota; Metazoa; Platyhelminthes; Trematoda.
GAGCUUUUAUAAAAAUUUAUUUACUUGGGGCAAGGGCAUAUUAUUUAUAUGUUUUUUGAUCCUUUAGGAUUAUAGAUAUAAGUUACCUUGGGGAUAACUAGGUAAGAAAUAAGGAGAGUCCAUAUUGAUUUAUUUAUUUGCCAUCUCGAUGUUGACUUAAAGUAAAUAUGAGGGUGCAGAAGUUCUCNUAUUAGGUCUGUUCGACCUUAAAUCUUUUCAUG